GCCACAAUUGCAUAUUUGAAUUCAAAUUUUGAAUCACAAAAGGCUUUAAAAGAUUUUGUUUACAUCCCUGUAACCUUUGGAUUUUCAAACCAAUAGGGUUGAUGUAUAAAAAGGGUUUAAUGCAUAUAUACGCUAUCCCAUAAUUUUUGGUUAAUUAUUUGGAGUUGAAAACGUAUUUUAUUUAAAUAGUUAUAUGGCCCUAAAGCAUUUAUAGGGCAAAUGUAUUUUUACAUAUUUUAUUUUGAAGAGAAACUACUUCCAAAAGUUGUAUCUUGGUAGAACAUGAUUUUACAAAUUUUCUGGAAUUUAUUUGGACUAAUUUGCAGUUCAAACUCAAAAGAUAUCAAAGAAAUGAGAAAAACAGAAAAAAGAAAAGGGUAAAGGAAAAAAAAAAGGGGAGCAAAUGAACCGGCCAGGCCAUUUUGGGCCGAUCCGGCCCAGUCCAACCACGCCCGACCGCGCGCGCGCAGCCCCGCUGGCCCAGCUGCCCGCGCACGCGCGCCCGUGCCACUGACAGGUGGGGCCCACCUGUCGGGGUCGUCCCCUACCUCAGGCAAGCGCCCGAAAUCGCGCCGCCGUCCCCGCGCGUGCCUGCCGCACGCCCUCACCGGGAUCCGCUCCUCCGGCCUUCCAUUUUCAUGCCCGAGCACGCCUUUAUAAUCCCAGCGACCCCCUCUCUCUUUCCCCCUUGUUUCCCCAUCC
RNAcentral lists this long non-coding RNA (702 nucleotides) under Brachypodium distachyon (stiff brome). Its description in RNAcentral is "long non-coding RNA (BDIS_LNC002170)". The record is from RNAcentral. Lineage: Eukaryota; Viridiplantae; Streptophyta; Magnoliopsida; Poales; Poaceae.